UACAGAGGUCUCGAGCGUUGUUCGGAUUCAUUGGGCGUAAAGGGUGCGUAGGUGGCGUGGUAAGUCUGGUGUGAAAUCCCGGGGCUCAACCCCGGAACUGCACUGGAUACUGCCAUGCUUGAGUACUGGAGAGGAGAUUGGAAUUUACGGUGUAGCAGUGAAAUGCGUAGAUAUCGGGAGGAACACCUGUGGCGAAGGCGGCUCGCUGGGCCGGUCCUGACGCUGAUAUGCGAAGGCGUGGGGAGCGAACGGG
RNAcentral lists this ribosomal RNA (253 nucleotides) under uncultured bacterium. Its description in RNAcentral is "partial 16S ribosomal RNA". It matches the Rfam family "Bacterial small subunit ribosomal RNA", at positions 524 to 776 of the family's 1533-position model. The record is from RNAcentral.